AUUGUCUUUGUUAGUCCUGAUGUCUGUGUCAGUGAUUCUUUUAGGUUUGGACCUUGACCGAGAGAAUUUCCAGUCGGUCUCUCGUCUCUCGUCUCUCGUCUCUCGUCUCCGGACGGACAGAAGUUCCAGAUGAUCCGAUGGGUGGGGGGGGGUCUUAGGCUGUGUGCCCCCAGGGGCCCUGGUCGAUUAGUUGUGGGGAUCGCCUGGGAGGGCGCGGUGACCCACUGUGCUGUGGGGGCCUCCAUCCUUCCGCCUCCCGCCUCCCCCUCCAGGCGAUCCCAAUUCAUUCCAGGCUGACAGUCUCAUUGGCAGACGUCGGGCAUCACCUAGCGGCCACUGUUACUCUGAAAAUGGAGGCCUCAACAGAGGAAGGAAGCUCAGGCCGCCUGCGCACAGCCUGGGGCAACUGUGUCUUCUCCACCGCCCCCGCCCCCACCUCCAAGCUCCCCCCUUCUUGGUUGCCUAGGAAAUGGCCACUUUGACGACUGGGCCGGAGUGACCUUUGAUCAGGCAGCAUAAAUAAAAACGAGAGAGAAGGUCUUCAUGAAACAGCUUUCUGAUGUGUGGAUUCCUCAUACAGAGUUAAAACUGCCUUUGGAUUCAGCAGUUUGGAAGCAGAAUGGACAUUUGGGAGCCCAUUGGGGCCUAUUGUGAGAAAGCGAACAUCCCCACCCCAGAAAUAAUAAAGCAGCUCUCUAUGAUACUGCUUUGUGAUGUGUGGAUUCAUGCCACAGAAUUACAACCAAUUUUUGAUUUAGGAGGUUUGAAGCAGUCUUUCUGUAGAAUCCGCGAAUAUACCUUUGGGAGCCCAUUGAGGCCUACUGUGAAAAACCGAAUAUCCCCAAAUAAAAACUAGAAAGAA
Molecule: non-coding RNA, 862 nt
Organism: Chlorocebus sabaeus (green monkey)
Lineage: Eukaryota; Metazoa; Chordata; Mammalia; Primates; Cercopithecidae
Source: RefSeq, a predicted model, not a curated record